RNAcentral lists this ribosomal RNA (794 nucleotides) under uncultured bacterium. RNAcentral's name for it is "bacterial SSU rRNA". It matches the Rfam family "Bacterial small subunit ribosomal RNA", at positions 8 to 796 of the family's 1533-position model. The record is from RNAcentral.
AGAGUUUGAUCAUGGCUCAGAUUGAACGCUGGCGGCAUGCUUUACACAUGCAAGUCGAGCGGCAGCGCGGGGGCAACCCUGGCGGCGAGCGGCGGACGGGUGAGCAAUACAUCGGAACGUGUCCCGUAGUGGGGGAUAACCCGGCGAAAGCCGGACUAAUACCGCAUAUGCUCUACGGAGGAAAGUGGGGGACCCGCAAGGCCUCACGCCAUGGGAGCGGCCGAUGUCCGAUUAGCUUGUUGGCGGGGGUAAAGGCCCACCAAGGCGACGAUCGGUAGCUGGUCUGAGAGGAUGAUCAGCCACACUGGGACUGAGACACGGCCCAGACUCCUACGGGAGGCAGCAGUGGGGAAUUUUGGACAAUGGGGGCAACCCUGAUCCAGCCAUGCCGCGUGCGGGAAGAAGGCCUUCGGGUUGUAAACCGCUUUUGUCCGGGAAGAAAAGGCAUUCCCUAAUACGGGGUGCUCUUGACGGUACUGGAAGAAUAAGCACCGGCUAACUACGUGCCAGCAGCCGCGGUAAUACGUAGGGUGCGAGCGUUAAUCGGAAUUACUGGGCGUAAAGCGUGCGUAGGCGGUUCGUCAAGUCUGAUGUGAAAGCCCCGGGCUCAACCUGGGAACUGCAUUGGAAACUAGCGAGCUUGAGUGUGGCAGAGGGGGGUGGAAUUCCCGUGUAGCAGUGAAAUGCGUAGAGAUGUGGAGGAACACCGAUGGCGAAGGCAGCCCCCUGGGCUAACACUGACGCUCAGGCACGAAAGCGUGGGGAGCAAACAGGAUUAGAUACCCUAGUAGUCC